AAAGUCGUAACAAGGUCUCCGUAGGUGAACCUGCGGAGGGAUCAUUACUGAACGGCCUUCAACCUACAAACCCGUGGAAGCAACCGUGCUUCGGCGCCCAGGCGCCGUCCUUAUGUCUAGAAACGCCUGUGUCUGAUUGUAUAUUGAGAAACAAAACUUUCAACAAAGGAUCUCUUGGCUCUC
RNAcentral lists this unclassified non-coding RNA (183 nucleotides) under Ascomycota sp. Its description in RNAcentral is "partial contains small subunit ribosomal RNA, internal transcribed spacer 1, and 5.8S ribosomal RNA". The stretch from base 1 to 47 matches the Rfam family "Eukaryotic small subunit ribosomal RNA", at positions 1785 to 1831 of the family's 1831-position model. Lineage: Eukaryota; Fungi; Ascomycota. The record is from RNAcentral.